RNAcentral lists this ribosomal RNA (416 nucleotides) under uncultured bacterium. RNAcentral's name for it is "bacterial SSU rRNA". It matches the Rfam family "Bacterial small subunit ribosomal RNA", at positions 355 to 776 of the family's 1533-position model. The record is from RNAcentral.
UGGGGAAUUUUGGACAAUGGGCGAAAGCCUGAUCCAGCGACGCCGCGUGGAGGACGAAGGUUUUCGGAUUGUAAACUCCUUUUGCAGGGGACGAAAGCCCGCAAGGGUUUGACGGUACUCUGCGAAUAAGCCACGGCUAACUACGUGCCAGCAGCCGCGGUAAUACGUAGGUGGCGAGCGUUACUCGGAAUUACUAGGCGUAAAGCGCGUGUAGGUGGGCGUUUAAGUCUGUUGUUAAAUUCCACGGCUCAACCGUGGACUGUCAAUAGAUACUGGACGUCUUGAGUGAGGUAGAGGGAACUGGAAUUCCCGGUGUAGCGGUGAAAUGCGUAGAUAUCGGGAAGAACGCCAAAGGCGAAGGCAGGUUCCUGGGCCUCCACUGACACUGAGACGCGAAAGCUAGGGGAGCAAACAGG